This 489-nucleotide ribosomal RNA is filed under the name soil fungal sp. DM067. RNAcentral's name for it is "eukaryotic LSU rRNA". It matches the Rfam family "Eukaryotic large subunit ribosomal RNA", at positions 147 to 658 of the family's 3401-position model. Lineage: Eukaryota; Fungi. The record is from RNAcentral.
AAUUUGCAGAGGAUGCUUUUGGCGCGGUGCCUUCCGAGUUCCCUGGAACGGGACGCCAUAGAGGGUGAGAGCCCCGUCUGGUCGGACACCAAGCCAGUGUAAAGCUCCUUCGACGAGUCGAGUAGUUUGGGAAUGCUGCUCUAAAUGGGAGGUAUAUGUCUUCUAAAGCUAAAUACCGGCCAGAGACCGAUAGCGCACAAGUAGAGUGAUCGAAAGAUGAAAAGCACUUUGAAAAGAGGGUUAAACAGUACGUGAAAUUGUUGAAAGGGAAGCGUUUAUGACCAGACUUGGGCCCGGUGAAUCAUCCAGCGUUCUCGCUGGUGCACUUUGCCGGGCUCAGGCCAGCAUCAGUUCGCCGCGGGGGAUAAAGGCUUCGGGAACGUGGCUCCCUCGGGAGUGUUAUAGCCCGUUGCGUAAUACCCUGUGGCGGACUGAGGUUCGCGCUCCGCAAGGAUGCUGGCGUAAUGGUCAUCAGCGACCCGUCUUGAA